CGGCUUAGUAACACGUAGGAAUCUACCCCAAAGUGAGGGAUAACUGCUCGAAAGAGUAGCUAAUACCGCAUGUGAUCUUAGGAUUAAAGAAUUUAUUCGCUUUGGGAAGAGCCUGCGUACGAUUAGAUAGUUGGUGAGGUAAUGGCUCACCAAGUCUACGAUCGUUAGCUGGUCUGAGAGGAUGAUCAGCAAGACUGGAACUGAGACACGGUCCAG
This 216-nucleotide ribosomal RNA is filed under the name uncultured bacterium. RNAcentral's name for it is "partial 16S ribosomal RNA". It matches the Rfam family "Bacterial small subunit ribosomal RNA", at positions 103 to 334 of the family's 1533-position model. The record is from RNAcentral.